RNAcentral lists this ribosomal RNA (460 nucleotides) under uncultured bacterium. RNAcentral describes it as "partial 16S ribosomal RNA". It matches the Rfam family "Bacterial small subunit ribosomal RNA", at positions 338 to 795 of the family's 1533-position model. The record is from RNAcentral.
CCUACGGGAGGCAGCAGUGAGGAAUAUUGGUCAAUGGGCGGAAGCCUGAACCAGCCAAGUCGCGUGAGGGAUUAAGGCCCUGCGGGUCGUAAACCUCUUUUGCCGGGGAGCAGAGUUCCGUACGUGUCCGGUCCUGGAGAGUACCCGGAGAAAAAGCAUCGGCUAACUCGGUGCCAGCAGCCGCGGUAAUCCGGAGGAUUCGAGCUUUAUCCGGAUUUAUUGGGUUUAAAGGGUGCGUAGGCGGGCAUUUAAGCCGGCGGUCAAAUGUCGGGGCUCAACCCCGGCCUGCCGUCGGAACUGGGUGCCUUGAGUGGGCGAGAAGUAGGCGGAAUGCGUGGUGUAGCGGUGAAAUGCAUAGAUAUCACGCAGAACCCCGAUUGCGAAGGCAGCAUACCGGAGCGCUACUGACGCUGAGGCACGAAAGUGCGGGUAUCGAACAGGAUUAGAUACCCGAGUAGUC